UGGCCGUAAACGAUACUCGCUAGGUGUCGGCCACGGUGCGACCGUUGUCGGUGCCGUAGGGAAGCCGUGAAGCGAGCCACCUGGGAAGUACGGCCGCAAGGCUGAAACUUAAAGGAAUUGGCGGGGGAGCACAACAACGGGUGGAGCUUGCGGUUUAAUUGGAUUCAACGCCGGAAAUCUUACCGGGACCGACAGCAACAUGAAGGCCAAGCUGAAGACUUUGCCGGAUUAGCUGAGAGGAGGUGCAUGGCGUGUGACUGU
Molecule: ribosomal RNA, 261 nt
Filed under: uncultured archaeon
Lineage: Archaea
Description: partial 16S ribosomal RNA
Rfam family: Archaeal small subunit ribosomal RNA
Source: RNAcentral